This 73-nucleotide transfer RNA is filed under the name Chloroflexota bacterium. RNAcentral's name for it is "tRNA-Thr". It matches the Rfam family "tRNA". From Rfam's summary of the family: Transfer RNA (tRNA) molecules are approximately 80 nucleotides in length. Lineage: Bacteria; Bacillati; Chloroflexota. The record is from RNAcentral.
GCCGUUGUAGCUCAGUGGCCAGAGCAGUGCUUUCGUAAAGCACCGGUCGUCGGUUCAAAUCCGACCAACGGCU